RNAcentral lists this long non-coding RNA (1086 nucleotides) under Phoenix dactylifera (date palm). Its description in RNAcentral is "long non-coding RNA (PDAC_LNC012472)". The record is from RNAcentral. Lineage: Eukaryota; Viridiplantae; Streptophyta; Magnoliopsida; Arecales; Arecaceae.
GGGGAACAAUCUAUUGGACGAGAGGACGCUGAGCAGAGUUCUGCGCAUUCUGGUUCAUAGAUCGCCGUGAGGGCGGGUGAUUAGUUGUCUGAGUUUUCAACAAAGUGUAAGAAUCCUUGUACGCCAAUCCUACAUGAUAUAAAUAUUUUUGCACUAUAUAUGUUUGAUAUGCUAUGAUCCAGACAAAGCAAAAUAGUUUUAUAUUAAAUUAUAUUUUGAUCGUGUUAGCUUGUAAUUGGUAUUAUGAUGGAUGCAUGUAUGUGUAUAACCUAUAUCUGCAUAAUUGGAUUUAUGGAUGUGGUGGUAUGGACUAAUCAUGUUAUAUUGAUUGCCCUGUCAUGGGCUGGAAACGUGACCAUAGUUAGUCUCAGUCGGAAAUAAAGUGGAAAAGGGAAUGGAUGUGUGUUUGUGAAUUGAUUAAAUGAAUAGGAACUUUGGGCUUAUCUCGUUAUUAUUGAUUGCCCCAUCACAGGCUGGAAAUGUGAUAUUAUCGAUUGCCCCGUCAUAGGCUGGAAAUGUGAUACUAUCGAUUGCCCCGUCACAGGCUGAAAAUGUGAUACUAUCGAUUGCCCCGUCACGGGCCGAAAACGUGACCGGGAUGUAGCCCAAAAUCGAAAAGAUAAUUGAUCCGGAUCAAGUUAAUAUAGAAUGGAAAGAAAAAGCAUUGAAAAUAUUAAUGAAGAUUUAUGAGCUAUCGUAUGCUAUAUCAUUCUUGCGUGGUUGGACUUUCAUUGAUAUUUGACGUACAUACUUAUAUUGAUUAUUUGAGUCUUUUGAUAGCCGGUUUAUGAUUUCAUGAAAUGUGCAUCGAUUUGUCGUGGCUUUCAAAUUCAUAUUAUUAUUGUGUUGGUAUGGAUGUGUAGGGAUUCUUACUGGGCUGUAAAGCUCACCCCCCCUUCUUUUUUCUUUUUUCAGAGUUGCAGGAUUCAUAGACAUGGAUGGGAUGAGCGCAGAGUACGAGUAUGAGAGUCAUUAGUUACUUAGUCUAUCUUGAUAUCAAUGAAUAUUGAAAGCUUUUGUAAAUGAACUAAUUUGAUUAUCUGGUCAUGUUGGAUUUAUCUAUUUGAUUUAAGUGAUUAACUGUGG